Non-coding RNA from Cicer arietinum (chickpea), 694 nucleotides. NCBI's taxonomy places the organism in Eukaryota, Viridiplantae, Streptophyta, Magnoliopsida, Fabales, Fabaceae. The record is from RefSeq and is a predicted model, not a curated record.
UGAGAGAUACUUAUUUCACUACAUUUUUUCUCAAAAUUUCUUGAGAAAAAAUUGGUUGAAGCUUCAUUAAUUUAUUUUUACUUCUCUAUUUUUGUUGGAUUAUUAAUUGAAGUUUUCAAUCAAGAUUUUAAAUUUUCAUCUCUAAAACAACAUGUAUAUUUUUUAAAAUUCAGAAAGAGGGCAAUAACAAGUGCGUUAUGCACUAAUGGAAUUGACAAAUGAGUCUCCAAUCGUUGGCUUUGUUAAUGGUGGCAAUAAAAGACCCUUUUGCUUAAGAUGGUUGAAGAGGCUUGGAUUCAACUCCACAAAUUCAGAAUCUCUCUGUUUUGGACGAGCCAGAAAAAUUCAACUUAGAGUCAACACAAGCAAUACAAGCACUUAAGAUGAAGAAUUAAAGAUGAUGUGAAGGAAGAUAUGAUCCAAAGAGGGAAUCAAGCAUUUCUUCAUGUUUCUCAUUACACAUCAAAUAUUUGACAGCGAUCACUGGACGAAUUCGAUGGAAGUGAUUGUGCGUGGGUCAUUCUAAGACUACUGUUGCGCAUGGAUUGCUGGAUUUUUUUAUUGUUUUUUAUUGUCUCUAUGUUUCUUUUGUCUUUUUAUUUUAUUUUAUUUGCAUAAUAAGUACAAUAGAUUGUGUACAUCCCUUCGAAUUCAAAUCUAAUUAAUGAGAUUGUGGAGCGAGGUUUGCAUGGGA